AGCCCCAGGGCAGGAAAAGCCAAGGGAACAGGAGAGAGGGGCCUCAGGGAAGGCUUGCGGGAGCCCUGGCAGCAGCUCUGGUCCAUUGGCACGCCGUCAGCAGUGCUUGCCUCAGUCUUCCGGAACUCCUGCUGUGUCCCCACUCACGUCAGCAUCCUGCACCCCUUGAAGGACAGUCAGCUGUGUGACUCUGGCUCCUUUCACAGUGCCCCAACAGAGCCCCCAGCAGCCUCCUCUGUGGGCAGCUCAUGCAAGCACUUAACCCUGCUCCCUCAACCCUCCUGUCCGUGUCACUCCACUUGUACCAUUGCGCCCGAUCCAGGGCCUCCUCAGGGGUCCCCGUGGGAGUUCGCAUCCAUCCCCGCCUCUUCUCUCCCUAGCCAUGAACAGUCAGUCAAGUACCUCAACUUCUCAGCCUCAGAGGAAGAGAGAAGCGGUGUGGCCACACACAGAUACCAGGCAGGUGGUGAGGCCUUCAGGGCUCAGGCCGCGCCCGGGGAGUUUGCCGUGGGCCGCGCUCGCAUUCCCUCUCUCUGUGCAGGUCAAUAACCUGGGUCAGAGGGACUUACCGGUCAGCGUUGACUUCUGGGUGCCUGUGGGGCUGAAUGGAGCAGCUGUGUGGACGGAGGUGGAGGUCUCUCACCCCCAGAACCCAUCCAUCCAGUGCUCCUCAGAGAGAUUGGUUCCCACGGAGGCUGACUUUCGGACGUACAUGCAGAAGAAUCCUGAGCUGGUGAGGAGGACUGUGGGCUGCUCUCUGCUGUGAGCUUCAUGUUGGAGGAAUUUAAUUCAGGAAUCAUACUGUACCCUGAAGGAUGCUCGCUGGCCAGCCUUGUGUGCUGAGAUAUGGCUGAUUCCUUCCAGUCACAGAGUUGAAUGCUGUCUUCUCCAUUCAUAUGCAUCGUCCUCUGGCCAGAUACUACCUUUCUGUCCUUAGGACUGCUCCAUUGCUGACUGCCUAAGGUUUCGCUGUGACAUCCCCUCCUUGGGCAUCCAGGAAGAACUGG
RNAcentral lists this long non-coding RNA (1007 nucleotides) under Fukomys damarensis (Damara mole-rat). RNAcentral's name for it is "lncRNA (ENSFDAG00000021564.1)". Lineage: Eukaryota; Metazoa; Chordata; Mammalia; Rodentia; Bathyergidae. The record is from RNAcentral.